RNAcentral lists this ribosomal RNA (500 nucleotides) under uncultured bacterium. RNAcentral's name for it is "partial 16S ribosomal RNA". It matches the Rfam family "Bacterial small subunit ribosomal RNA", at positions 30 to 523 of the family's 1533-position model. The record is from RNAcentral.
AUUGAACGCUGGCGGCAUGCCUUACACAUGCAAGUCGAACGGCAGCACGGGAGCAAUCCUGGUGGCGAGUGGCGAACGGGUGAGUAAAGUAUCGGAACGUGCCCAGUCGUGGGGGAUAACGUAGCGAAAGUUACGCUAAUACCGCAUACGAUCUAUGGAUGAAAGCGGGGGAUCGCAAGACCUCGCGCGAUUGGAGCGGCCGAUAUCAGAUUAGGUAGUUGGUGGGGUAAAGGCUCACCAAGCCGACGAUCUGUAGCUGGUCUGAGAGGACGACCAGCCACACUGGGACGGAGACACGGCCCAGACUCCUACGGGAGGCAGAAGUGGGGAAUUUUGGACAAUGGGCGAAAGCCUGAUCCAGCCAUGCCGCGUGCAGGAUGAAGCCCUUCGGGUUGUAAACUGCUUUUGUACGGAACGAAAAGGUUUGGCCUAAUAAGCUGAGCUCAUGACGGUACCGUAAGAAUAAGCACCGGCUAACUACGUGCCAGCCGCCGCCGUAA